This is a long non-coding RNA of Paramisgurnus dabryanus, 253 nucleotides long. RefSeq lists it as uncharacterized. The record is from RefSeq and is a predicted model, not a curated record. NCBI's taxonomy places the organism in Eukaryota, Metazoa, Chordata, Actinopteri, Cypriniformes, Cobitidae.
CGCCUCCGUCCUCGUGAGUUCAAAGUGGAUUUUAACCGUUUACCCCAGACGACAGUUUUCAUUUCUAUGGCAAAUUCUAAGGUCAUUUUCUUGUUGUGUUUUGAUGUUUUCCAUUGGCUGAAGAGCAGAUUAAUUACCAUGCAAUUUGAAGAAUUGUGAUAAAAUACACAGAGGUGAAGUCAUGUGUCUUUCCAGAUGCCCAAUCUGUACCACUCAAAAGGUAAUGAAGUGACAGUGUACCAUGACAAAAAAU